CCUACGGGAGGCUGCAGUGGGGAAUAUUGGGCAAUGGGCGCAAGCCUGACCCAGCAACGCCGCGUGAAGGAAGACGGCUUUCGGGUUGUAAACUUCUUUUCUCAGGGACGAAGAAAGUGACGAUACCUGAGGCAUAAGCCGCGGCUAACUACGUGCCAGCAGCCGCGGUAAUACGGCGGUGGCAAGCGUUAUCCGGAUUUAUUGGGUGUAAAGGGCGUGUAGGCGGGAGGGCAAGUCAGAUGUGAAAACUCAGGGCUCAACCCUGAGCCUGCAUUUGAAACUGUGUUUCUUGAGUGCUGGAGAGGCAAGCGGAAUUCCGUGUGUAGCGGUGAAAUGCGUAGAUAUACGGAGGAACACCAGUGGCGAAGGCGGAUUACUGGACAGUAACUGACGCUGAGGCGCGAAAGCGUGGGGAGCAAACAGGAUUAGAUACCCGAGUAGUC
This 443-nucleotide ribosomal RNA is filed under the name uncultured bacterium. Its description in RNAcentral is "partial 16S ribosomal RNA". It matches the Rfam family "Bacterial small subunit ribosomal RNA", at positions 338 to 795 of the family's 1533-position model. The record is from RNAcentral.